This 577-nucleotide ribosomal RNA is filed under the name Cortinarius biformis. RNAcentral describes it as "eukaryotic LSU rRNA". It matches the Rfam family "Eukaryotic large subunit ribosomal RNA", at positions 1 to 576 of the family's 3401-position model. Lineage: Eukaryota; Fungi; Basidiomycota; Agaricomycetes; Agaricales; Cortinariaceae. The record is from RNAcentral.
GUGACCUCAAAUCAGGUAGGACUACCCGCUGAACUUAAGCAUAUCAAUAAGCGGAGGAAAAGAAACUAACAAGGAUUCCCCUAGUAACUGCGAGUGAAGCGGGAAAAGCUCAAAUUUAAAAUCUGGCGGUCUUUGGCUGUCCGAGUUGUAAUCUAGAGAAGUGUUAUCCGCGCUGGACCGUGUACAAGUCUCCUGGAAUGGAGCAUCAUAGAGGGUGAGAAUCCCGUCUUUGACAUGGACUGCCAGGGCUUUGUGAUGCGCUCUCAAAGAGUCGAGUUGUUUGGGAAUGCAGCUCAAAAUGGGUGGUAAAUUCCAUCUAAAGCUAAAUAUUGGCGAGAGACCGAUAGCGAACAAGUACCGUGAGGGAAAGAUGAAAAGAACUUUGGAAAGAGAGUUAAACAGUACGUGAAAUUGCUGAAAGGGAAACGCUUGAAGUCAGUCGCGUCGUCCAGGGAUCAACCUUGCUUUUGCUUGGUGCACUUUCUGGUUCGAUGGGUCAGCAUCAAUUUUGACUGUUGGAAAAAGGUCAAGGGAAUGUGGCAUCUUUGGAUGUGUUUAUAGCCCUUGGUCACAUACA